This is an RNA transcript of Alnus glutinosa, 1498 nucleotides long. It is a transcript of the gene named 28 kDa ribonucleoprotein, chloroplastic, with no coding region annotated. The transcript is spliced from 6 exons. The record is from RefSeq and is a predicted model, not a curated record. Lineage: Eukaryota; Viridiplantae; Streptophyta; Magnoliopsida; Fagales; Betulaceae.
UUGAACGGGUGGGUAUCACCGUGACAAAGCUAUGGCGAGCACUUGCAUCGUUGGUUUAUUAACCCCGUCAUCCUCUAAAUCUUUGGUUUCCAGCAGAGCCGGAGCUAGUGGUGGUGCGGUGAAACGGUUCGUUUCGUGUUCGUGCUCUUUGUUCCCUUCCUCCAACGAGUUCGGCUACCAGGGGAUCUCGUGCUCUUCGGCGUUGGGGCCUAUUGCCAGAGCUAGGUUUUCGGGAGUUUUGGGCGUUGUGGGCGAAGAGGACACAGUGGUUGCGGAGGGGAGUAAUGCUAAUGUGGACUACAAGAACGACGGCGUCUUGGGGCAGGAAUGUAAGACGCGGACCCGACCAUGUGAGCUCUACGUGUGUAAUCUCCCCACGAGUUGCGGCAUUGCAGAGCUGCUUGAAAUGCUUAAGCCUUUUGGAACUGUACUAUCUGUCGAGAUUUCCCGGAAUGCUGAGACAGGUGUAAGUCGGGGAUGCGGUUUCGUGACAAUGAGUUCAGUAAAUGCAGCAAAACUUGCAAUUGCUGCGCUGGAUGGAUCUGAUGUUGGCGGCCGAGAAAUGCGGGUUACAUUUUCGGUUGAUAUGAAUCCUAGGAGGAGGAAUUCUGAGGCAUUGAAUUCAGUGCCCAAUAAAGAGAUAGUAUAUGAAAGUUCUCACAAGCUAUAUGUGGGCAAUCUUCCCCGCGAUGUUAAACCUGAAAAUUUGAGGAAUCAUUUUAGUCAAUUUGGGACUUUGGUUAGUGCAAGAGUGUUGCAUGAUCGAAAAGCAGGAAAAAACCGUUGUUAUGGGUUUCUCUCCUUUUCUUCAGCUGCAGAACGUGAUGCAGCUAUAUCUUUAAGUGGAACAGAGUUCCUUGGUAGAACAAUAGUAGUUAGACAAGGCGUGGAAAGGACCAAGCCCUAACUGAAGUUUUGGUUGCUGCAUACAUGCUAUAUUGAGGUUUCUUCUGUUCAUUAGAAAUUGGAUAGUUUGGAGCACUCUUUGUCAGUGAGAUAUUUAGGCAGGACAGUUUCUUCUUAUGUGCUACUUAUGGCAAUUUCAAUGUUUGAAGUGGACUUCUGCUGGCACUAGUAUGUAGAUAGAGUCACAGAAAUGCAGGGUUAUCUCGCUCUUGAAGUUGAUUUUAAUUGCUGAUGGACCAUGGAUGCAUCACAUAGCAGAACAGUUAGUGCCACCUGAUAUUGAUUUCAAAAUUCUUGAUUUUUGUUUGUGAGGUUAAAUGAAUCUCAGCUGCUCAACUUCCUACAAAUGAUCAACCUAGUAGUCUAAAUUCUUCAUUGUUCAGUUUGGCAUUCUUAAAAUUAGACUAAAGCUAGGAUAAAACUCGAUCUUAAAGUCAGACUGUAGUCUUUCCUUUCUACUUAUACUAUAGUUCUAGAAAUUUAGCUGAAUAAACAAAGUGCUGAGAAUCUUUUUGUAUUAGAUGGGUUGGCUGUAGAUGAUGACAUGAUGUUGGCAUCAACUGUGAAUGGUUUUCUUUAAUUUUUGGUGAUU